This 64-nucleotide transfer RNA is filed under the name Cavia porcellus (domestic guinea pig). It matches the Rfam family "tRNA", at positions 1 to 62 of the family's 71-position model. From Rfam's summary of the family: Transfer RNA (tRNA) molecules are approximately 80 nucleotides in length. Their secondary structure includes four short double-helical elements and three loops (D, anti-codon, and T loops). Lineage: Eukaryota; Metazoa; Chordata; Mammalia; Rodentia; Caviidae. The record is from Rfam by way of RNAcentral.
GGGGUUUUAGCUCAGCGGCAUAAGCGCCUGCCUUGUAAGCAGGCAGUUGUGAGUUCAACCCCCG